This 570-nucleotide ribosomal RNA is filed under the name uncultured bacterium. RNAcentral's name for it is "partial 16S ribosomal RNA". It matches the Rfam family "Bacterial small subunit ribosomal RNA", at positions 355 to 918 of the family's 1533-position model. The record is from RNAcentral.
UGGGGAAUUUUGGACAAUGGGCGAAAGCCUGAUCCAGCAAUGCCGCGUGUGUGAAGAAGGCCUUCGGGUUGUAAAGCACUUUUGUCCGGAAAGAAAUCCUCUGGGUUAAUACCUCGGGGGGAUGACGGUACCGGAAGAAUAAGCACCGGCUAACUACGUGCCAGCAGCCGCGGUAAUACGUAGGGUGCAAGCGUUAACCGGAAUUACUGGGCGUAAAGCGUGCGCAGGCGGUUUUGUAAGACGGAUGUGAAAUCCCCGGGCUUAACCUGGGAACUGCAUUCGUGACUGCAAGGCUAGAGUAUGGCAGAGGGGGGUAGAAUUCCACGUGUAGCAGUGAAAUGCGUAGAGAUGUGGAGGAAUACCGAUGGCGAAGGCAGCCCCCUGGGCCAAUACUGACGCUCAUGCACGAAAGCGUGGGGAGCAAACAGGAUUAGAUACCCUGGUAGUCCACGCCCUAAACGAUGUCAACUAGUUGUUGGGGAUUCAUUUCCUUAGUAACGUAGCUAACGCGUGAAGUUGACCGCCUGGGGAGUACGGUCGCAAGAUUAAAACUCAAAGGAAUUGACGGGG